This is a long non-coding RNA of Cyprinus carpio (common carp), 1526 nucleotides long. NCBI's taxonomy places the organism in Eukaryota, Metazoa, Chordata, Actinopteri, Cypriniformes, Cyprinidae. The record is from Ensembl.
CCCUUUUAGGGUUAAAAAGUUCUGUUUGACGUAAAUUAAUCAGAUAAAAACAUCACAGCAAUACACUCCACACAUUUCUUCAGCAGAGCAUUAAAUAUAUCGCGCGUGGAGGAACGUUCAGACACAACUACGCAAUGGCGUCGUUUGAAUCGGUUCUUUGAAAUCACUAUUCGAAGUUCAAAAGAACCGAUUCAAAUCGGACAAAUAAAUCGAAACUCCCAUCAUCCUCGAGCUCUGCAGGAACACAGACACACAUUCAUUCCUUUCCACUUGAGGAAAACUUUACAGAGUUUUGACGACUAUUUAUUGUUCGUGAGGUCAGAACGAGGGAAAAGAACAUCGCUCAUAGGGGUAUAAAGUCAUUAUGAUCUGCACGAUAUGCUCAACAUCACCAGCUCCAACCACCCCCAUAUUCCUCCCCUGUAUUCACUCUGCAUCCGGAGUCGGAGCAUGUUGAUAAAUGAGGAGAGGGCGUCCAGGGACUCUCUCCGUUAAGGACCGUGCCGCGCGAUUUAUGACGUCUCUCUCGCAGACUUCACGAUGAUUAAUAUGGCUCCUCCGUUCACCGCGGCAGAUCGGGCGCAGGAGCUGCACUCCACGAGCGCCAGUCGGGCAGAUAACAUCAAAACGGCCUGCUGCUAGUGUUAAGAAAAUACUGCAUUCUGGGUCAGCGCAAAUGAUUCCACAAGGAGCACGAAACUGUUUUAAUGACAGUCCCAUCUAUAUAUUAUCACAUGUGCGCAGAUUGGAACGGAGAGGCUUGCAUUUGCAAAUGUUUUUUUUUCCUCAAUUUGCACCAUAAUGAUUUCACUUCAGUUUAUGAAUGAACUGUAAACUCUAUACAUAUCAACUUAAAAGCUGUUCAUUAUGCCCACAAUGAAAUAACUCAUGUAUGUAAUUUUUAAAAAUGAAUUGAAAGGGAAAAAAAAGGUCAACCGACCUCGAUUUAGAGGACAACCCGGAAGUCUUUCAAUUAUUUGUAUUUUUAUUCUGUUUUUUUUUUUAAUCAGUAAAUGCUUCUCAGCUUUGUUGGCAGGUUUUUUUGAGCCAAUCUAUCAACUAUUCUGAGCUCUGAUGUCAAAGAAAGCAGAAAGAGAAAAAAUGUGAGUCCAUUUUACACUUUUUAUAGUCUUCCAAAGAAGAAUUGUUAAGUGGUUAAACAUAUACACGAAAAUGAAUUAUUUUCAGUUUAAAGCUGCAGUCAGUAAGUUUUGCCUCUUUGUCGCCAUCUCUGUUUGAAAACCUGCAAUUGCAGCUGUUUGCGGAAUUAUCUUCCUUGCGUGGGUUGUGCUCCAGUGCGGAUGAAUCUAAUGUUUUGAGCAGUAUGUGUGUGUGGCAGUCAGUCACCGCACCCAUGUGGAUAUUUACUGUACUUCGCAAUCACAGAUUCUAGCCUACGUCUAGGAAUAUAUGACCCAAAUAAGAUUUUUCACCGUAUAUUGUCAUCUGAACAAGUAACAAGUCUGCCACAUUUGUUCUGACCAACCAAGGAAAAAAGCAUUACAAUAAAUCGUGCUACAUCAGCA